GAAAUGCGAUAAGUAGUGUGAAUUGCAGAAUUCAGUGAAUCAUCGAAUCUUUGAACGCACAUUGCGCCCUUUGGUAUUCCUUAGGGCAUGCCUGUUCGAGCGUCAUCUAAACCUUCAAGCCCUGCUUGGUGUUGGGUGCCUGUCCCGCCUCCGCGCGCGGACUCACCUCAAAUCCAUUGGCGGCCCCCGCGUCGGCCACGAGCGCAGCAGAAACGCGAACUCGUGAGCCCGUCCGGGCGGCUCCCAGAAGCUACACCCACCCAGUUUGACCUCGGAUCAGGUAGGGAUACCCGCUGAACUUAAUC
RNAcentral lists this unclassified non-coding RNA (305 nucleotides) under plant metagenome. Its description in RNAcentral is "partial contains 5.8S ribosomal RNA, internal transcribed spacer 2, and large subunit ribosomal RNA". The stretch from base 1 to 105 matches the Rfam family "5.8S ribosomal RNA", at positions 50 to 154 of the family's 154-position model. The record is from RNAcentral.